Molecule: ribosomal RNA, 1337 nt
Filed under: Nocardia cyriacigeorgica
Lineage: Bacteria; Bacillati; Actinomycetota; Actinomycetes; Mycobacteriales; Nocardiaceae
Description: bacterial SSU rRNA
Rfam family: Bacterial small subunit ribosomal RNA
Source: RNAcentral
UCGGGGUACACGAGCGGCGAACGGGUGAGUAACACGUGGGUGAUCUGCCUCGCACUCUGGGAUAAGCCUGGGAAACUGGGUCUAAUACCGGAUAUGACCUUACAUCGCAUGGUGUUUGGUGGAAAGAUUUAUCGGUGCGAGAUGGGCCCGCGGCCUAUCAGCUUGUUGGUGGGGUAAUGGCCUACCAAGGCGACGACGGGUAGCCGGCCUGAGAGGGCGACCGGCCACACUGGGACUGAGACACGGCCCAGACUCCUACGGGAGGCAGCAGUGGGGAAUAUUGCACAAUGGGCGAAAGCCUGAUGCAGCGACGCCGCGUGAGGGAUGACGGCCUUCGGGUUGUAAACCUCUUUCGACAGGGACGAAGCGCAAGUGACGGUACCUGUAGAAGAAGCACCGGCCAACUACGUGCCAGCAGCCGCGGUAAUACGUAGGGUGCGAGCGUUGUCCGGAAUUACUGGGCGUAAAGAGCUUGUAGGCGGCUUGUCGCGUCGAUCGUGAAAACUUGGGGCUCAACCCCAAGCUUGCGGUCGAUACGGGCAGGCUUGAGUACUUCAGGGGAGACUGGAAUUCCUGGUGUAGCGGUGAAAUGCGCAGAUAUCAGGAGGAACACCGGUGGCGAAGGCGGGUCUCUGGGAAGUAACUGACGCUGAGAAGCGAAAGCGUGGGUAGCGAACAGGAUUAGAUACCCUGGUAGUCCACGCCGUAAACGGUGGGUACUAGGUGUGGGUUUCCUUCCACGGGAUCCGUGCCGUAGCUAACGCAUUAAGUACCCCGCCUGGGGAGUACGGCCGCAAGGCUAAAACUCAAAGGAAUUGACGGGGGCCCGCACAAGCGGCGGAGCAUGUGGAUUAAUUCGAUGCAACGCGAAGAACCUUACCUGGGUUUGACAUACACCGGAAACCUGCAGAGAUGUAGGCCCCCUUGUGGUCGGUGUACAGGUGGUGCAUGGCUGUCGUCAGCUCGUGUCGUGAGAUGUUGGGUUAAGUCCCGCAACGAGCGCAACCCUUAUCUUAUGUUGCCAGCGCGUAAUGGCGGGGACUCGUGAGAGACUGCCGGGGUCAACUCGGAGGAAGGUGGGGACGACGUCAAGUCAUCAUGCCCCUUAUGUCCAGGGCUUCACACAUGCUACAAUGGCCGGUACAGAGGGCUGCGAUACCGUGAGGUGGAGCGAAUCCCUUAAAGCCGGUCUCAGUUCGGAUCGGGGUCUGCAACUCGACCCCGUGAAGUUGGAGUCGCUAGUAAUCGCAGAUCAGCAACGCUGCGGUGAAUACGUUCCCGGGCCUUGUACACACCGCCCGUCACGUCAUGAAAGUCGGUAACACCCGAAGCCGGUG